Molecule: ribosomal RNA, 796 nt
Filed under: fungal sp.
Lineage: Eukaryota; Fungi
Description: mitochondrial SSU rRNA
Rfam family: Bacterial small subunit ribosomal RNA
Source: RNAcentral
AUAUAAUAAGUUUAUUAACUUGCUUGACUAGGUCUUAUAAAAUUCUGGAUAAAGCUUAUUAUGAAAACUUUAUAUCCAUAGGUCUCGACCAAAUCUUGUGCCAGCAGUCGCGGUAAGACAAGGGAGACGAGUGUUAUUCAUCUUUAACAGGUAUAUAGGGUACCUAGACGGUGUACAAAGGCUUAGAUAAGUACCUGUUACACUUGAGUUUGAUAUGUGAGAGGAAUAUGUCAGAAUUAUUGGUGGAAAGAUGAAAUUUGCUAAUACUAAUAGGACUGAUAACGGCGAAGGCAAACCUCUAUGUACAUGUAUUUUUAUUAGUGUUAGCGUGUUAUAUCGUUAACAAUAAUAAGCGAAAAAUACUAUAACUGACGUUGAGGGACGAAGGCUCAGAGAGUGAAGAGGAUUAGAUACCCCCGUAGCCUGGGCAGACAAUGAUGAGUGCCAUAGAUUGGCUUUAUGUUGAACUAUAAAUGAAAGUGGAAGCACUCCACCUCAAGAGUAAUGUGGCAACGCAGGAACUGAAAUCAUUAGACCGUUUCUGAAACCAGUAGUGAAGUAUGUUAUUUAAUUCGAUGAUCCUCGAAUAACCUUACCACAAUUUGAAUGACCUACAAGAUAGAAUACACCUUUGGACCGCGUUCCAAAGAGAUGAGAUAUUUGUAGACCACAUGCGUUGCAUGGCUGUCUUCAGUUAAUGUCGUGAGAUUUGGUUAGGUCCAUUAAAUUAACGUAAACCCUUGCUUUAUUUACUAGUAUAAAGCAGUUCUCCGCUUACAAUUGGAUGUGAUAAUAG